CUCCUGUGCUCAAGUCAUCUUCCUACCUCAGCCUCACUUGGGAUUACAGGCUUGCACCACCACACCUGGCUAAUUAAAAAAACAUUUUUUAAAGACAGGGUCUCGCUAUGUUGCCCAAGCUGAUCUCAAACUCCUGGGCUCAAGUAAUCUUCCUGCCUCAGCCUCCAGAGUAGCUGGGAUUACAGGCGUGAGCCACCACCCAGCUAUAGUUUUAACAAAGUCUUCAGUUGAUUCUGAUAUAUCCAGUUUUUGGACUUACUGUUUGCCUUGAGAGUCAAUAGGGGCUUUGACUUGUCAUC
RNAcentral lists this long non-coding RNA (299 nucleotides) under Homo sapiens (human). Its description in RNAcentral is "non-protein coding lnc-PTGR2-2:1". The record is from RNAcentral. Lineage: Eukaryota; Metazoa; Chordata; Mammalia; Primates; Hominidae.